CGGCAGCUCGGUUAGCUCAUCCCUCGGGCUCUGAAAUGAUGGCAGAGGGCUGCACUGAAACGGCGAUCAGCCGACCCCGGGCUGAGCUCCGAGAGCCAGGCGGUGCAGACACGACAGAAGCGUCCCAACACCGCCCAGCUAGGACUGCCAGCCUACUGGGUUCGGAGCGGUUUUCCCCCCAGGCUAUCUCCUGUUGGAAGGAACGCGCGCAAAGUUCAGCCCGGUGAUAACGCUGUUCCUGAUUGCCUGCGCUGACACUACUUGAGGAAAUGCACCCCCCUCAGUCCAUUCCCCUUCAUACAAGACCCCCCAGAAAAGCAGAGAAAUCCACCAAGUAAGCAACACCCUCAUGAAGAUACGUAAGUCAGCCCUUCAUGCCUUAUCUCUCCCUCCCCCAUUUUAUUUUUUCUCCGUCCCCCAUUUUAGACAACCAAUGUUCCAAUUGCCUGUUCCAAUUCUCGGUUAUACCUUUACUCAAGAUAUGCAACCUGACUCGUCCAUUUGAUGUGAUAUCUGUUCAUUGUUGGACACUCUGGGCUAUGAAGUGUGUUCUUCGGUCUGAAGAAAUGGGACUUGGUGGUCCAAACUGGUGCAAUAGCUUCUGGUCCAGUCUUUUUAUAGUAUGUUGAACAUUUGCAUCUACCUCUAGGCAUGGAAAACCCGGUCCAGAGUGUGUCUAUUCCUACCAAAACCCAUUUGUAACCUUCCAGGGCUCCCAGCAUCAGUCCAGCCGCCAGCUCUGCAUCGGGCCUUUCCCCCAGGGAAUCUGCCCCACAGCCAUCUGUAGCCUCCAUCAUUUUUGCUGGCCCACAACAAAGUUCUUCUUGGCAUUUUGUGCUCCAGAGGGUUUGAGAGGGCGAUGUCUAGAUUUGUCCCAUCUCUGCACUGCUGAACCCCCCAUAUCCACUCAUUCCGUGGGCCCAGGGGGCUACCUCAAGUGAGCACACCAGGAUAUCCACUUGCUGGUUCCAGUCCCCUCCCAGUCCUACAAGGAGGUUUUUCUGAUGGACAGUGACAUGCCCCACUUUAAUGUACCCCUGAAUGCCCAUAGUCAUUUCCACAGGGCAGUGCCCCCCAACAGACUUCCCUUUAAUAGGCAAAUUUUCCAUUGUUCUUCUACUUAACCACAUGGUCAAGACAUUAGCUGUUGCCCAUGAGUUGGUUCA
Long non-coding RNA from Prionailurus viverrinus (fishing cat), 1166 nucleotides. RefSeq lists it as uncharacterized. The record is from RefSeq and is a predicted model, not a curated record. The transcript has 3 exons. NCBI's taxonomy places the organism in Eukaryota, Metazoa, Chordata, Mammalia, Carnivora, Felidae.